Cinara cedri is the source of this 328-nucleotide non-coding RNA. The record is from the annotation of a GenBank genome assembly. Lineage: Eukaryota; Metazoa; Arthropoda; Insecta; Hemiptera; Aphididae.
CUCAGAAGAACUUCGUAAAUUGAUUUCAAUACAUUUUAAUGGAGAACGGAAAAAUGUGACCGACUUAAUAUUUUCCAAAAAAAAAAAAGUCAAAAUGUUGGGUAGCACACCGAUCAAUAGUAUCAGCUUUUUUCCUUUUUUGUUUACACUUUUUUAGAAAAAUUAUUAUUAGUCUCGAUUAUUAAUAAAACAAUUAUUAAUAUUAAACUUAAACGCAAUCAUUUAGAAUCAAAAAUAAAAAAACACAAAGGAAUUGAGGGUACGAAUAAAAUAAAUAAGUAUUCUAUCACAAAAAGUUUUAAAUGAACAAAGAAUUUAUUUAUCACGG